AAUAAUGAACUCAAAGAUAGGAUAUAUUUUGUAAGGGAAAAAAACAACUUCUAAGAACUAGAACUGAGAGUACAAGGUGAUUGGGAGAGAAAGAAGUUACAACUUCACAAUUCAUGAAUGAGUAACAAAGAUCCCUAUUACAAUUAUUUAUAGCUAGCUCAUUACAAUUAUACUAUGGGCUUCAUUACAAAAUGACAUCUACAUCCACCACCUAUGCAUGCUGGAAGCGUAGGAGGUGGGCACUUAAAUUUGGAACAUUCAGACUUAUAUCUGCAAAUUAAAUCCAUUUCAUCUUUUAUUUUUUUUGAUAAAAAAUCCAUUUCUUCUAAUCCUGUAAUAAAAUAAAAAUUAAAAACAAAUAUUAUUAAAAGUUGUGAAUUAUUUUGUUUGUAUAAGAUAAACAAUAAAGUUCAAAAGGAUUCAAAUAAUUGUUUACCAUAAUCUCCAACUACUGCAUGAAAUAAGGAAAUAAAGAAGAUCAUUAAAUAAACAAACUUAACAAUUUCUACCAUAUUUUUCUCUCCUAAUUAACCUUACAACAUAUACAAAUGUAUUGACCACUUUAUGUUGUAAAAGUAUUAUGUGUUGUUUAUUUUUUCAAUUUGUU
This 607-nucleotide long non-coding RNA is filed under the name Trifolium pratense (red clover). RNAcentral's name for it is "long non-coding RNA (TPRA_LNC008828)". The record is from RNAcentral. Lineage: Eukaryota; Viridiplantae; Streptophyta; Magnoliopsida; Fabales; Fabaceae.